UUAUACAAAAUUGAAUAUUAUAAUAAAUUAUAUAAUAUAUAAUUAAAUUUUUAAAUAAAAUAAUUUUUUAAAUUUUAGUAAAAUAAUUAAUUAAAUUAAUUAAUUAAAUUUAUUUUAAACUAGGAUUAGAUACCCUAUUAUAUAAAUUUUGUUUAUAUUAAUAAUUAUAAUUUAAUUUUUAAAAAAUUAAAUAAUUUGGUAGUAUUUUUUAAAAUUAGAGGAUUUUGUUUAGUAAUUGAUAAUACACAUUAAAAUAGACUUAAUUUAAUUAGAUUAUAUAUUGUUGUUUAAUUAAUAUUAAAAAAUAAUUAAUUAUUUUUAUUAAUAUUAUUUAACUUAAUUCAAAUCAUAAUAUAUUAUAAAAUUAAGAUUAAAAUGAAAUACAUUAAAAUUAAUUUAAAUUGGAUUUUAAAUUUUAAUAUUUAAAUAAAAAUGGAUUUAAAAUUAAAUAUUUAUAUAUUUAAAUAUUUAAUAUUUUUAAAAAAUAGAUACAUAUUGCCCGUCGCUUUUAAAUAAUUUUAAAAUAAGUCGAAACAUAGUUAAUAUAAUGGAAAUUAUAUUUA
RNAcentral lists this ribosomal RNA (563 nucleotides) under Asphondylia rosetta. Its description in RNAcentral is "partial 12S ribosomal RNA". Lineage: Eukaryota; Metazoa; Arthropoda; Insecta; Diptera; Cecidomyiidae. The record is from RNAcentral.